This is a long non-coding RNA of Cryptotermes secundus, 1275 nucleotides long. RefSeq lists it as uncharacterized. The transcript has 2 exons. The record is from RefSeq and is a predicted model, not a curated record. Lineage: Eukaryota; Metazoa; Arthropoda; Insecta; Blattodea; Kalotermitidae.
ACCCACGAUCCCAGUGUUCAAGCGAGCGAAGAAGGUUCAUGCCUUAGACCGAGCGGCCACUGUGAUGCUCUAGCUUCACCACGAUUAACAAUACUUGUGACCUGAGAUGAUACGGAUGACUAUAGACAAAGAGCGACGGCCUACUCUUCAAGACUCGAUUUAUAUUAAGGUAGUGCAAAGCCGAAACACGCCUCAUCCCUGGUUCUUUUCAUUUCAUCACCUGAUUGGUAUAGACUUGUAAUCAGGAGGUUCUCGGCUCGAAUCUCGGCCGGGACACUGCCUAUCCUAAGGACAAUCGUGCUUUUCCUUAAUCCAUCCGGACAAAUAUAGGGAUAGUACUCGUACAUUGAUUAGGCCAGGCACGUUACCUGCGAAGUCCUUUCCAAUUCAUUCUUCAUACAUCAUCCUGCCAUCCGACGCUAUAUAGCCUUGAUACUGAAGAGAAUCAUUAAGUAACCACGUCAAAAAAGAGAGUAAUCAUCUUUCGCUAUAUAAGUUAAGACCUGACACAUAUUUCGCUCACACAAAGUUCAUAUUUACAUAUGUUGUGCCCCAGGUUAUUAAUGGGUAUGCUUUAUCCGAACAAGGGGUCAAAUUUACGUUUUAUUAAUUAGAAAAUAAUUAUAAGUUUUAUAAAUUUAAAUACGUCGGGUGAACCACGAGUUGGAAACCCGCCGGAAGUCAGAGUUGAGACGCCGUACAUUCUUUAGCCAUCCGGUGUCAGUUGCACAGUCUAGAAAGUGCUGACAGUGAAGGGACGAAACGAGGCAAGUCUCGCCACCGCACAGUUGGCUGACUUUAGGGGUUUUGAGCGAGCAGCUUUCCGUGAUGUUGAAUGUUGAGGGGUUCAGACGGGAGGAGCCGCGAACACUCAGAUUUUAAGAGUCGCUCGGAACAGUCGCGUGGUAGGAAGCAGACGCAAUGGAGUCAGAUGUCUUCCUUUUUGUGAGCGAGGAUUGACUUUGCUGGUUCUUUUUGUGGAAAGCAACUGGACUCCGGGUAAAGGCAGGAACCAUGUAGCAGUAGUGGACAAGAAUUCGAGUAAUGAGAAUAAUUGUUGGUUGUAUGAAGAGUUUAAAAUAGUAGAAGCAUGUCAUCCGUGUAUUGAGUUUGGAGUUUCAAGUAAAAGUGUUGGUUUGUGCCAUUUAGGUUUAGCAUAUUAUGGACAGUUAAAUGUAGGAAUUUAAAACCAGGGGUUUAAUCGAAGGUUCUGUGUGUAUUGCCAGGUUGUUUGUUGUAAUGGUGUUUUAUUUCAUUAUAUUUUAUUUUAUUUUA